CUCCAGAUGUUGCUGAACUACAACUCCCAUGAUUCUAUCAAUGAAAUAGAAAUAGGGUGAGAAUCAUGGGAGUUGUAGUUCAGCAACAUCUGGAG
This is a non-coding RNA of Pelobates cultripes (western spadefoot toad), 95 nucleotides long. Lineage: Eukaryota; Metazoa; Chordata; Amphibia; Anura; Pelobatidae. The record is from the annotation of a GenBank genome assembly.